CUGCUCUACCCCAUCUACCCAGCCACUGAUGACAUCAUGGAAGGCUAUCAGAAUUGCCUCUGAAUUUACUUUGGUGAAUUCCAUCAAUAAAAAGUGGUGUGAGGACUGUCUGUAACAAGUUUCUCAACGCUUGUGAUGAUCAUGCCCAAAUACAGAGUAACCAAAUGACUUUCCUGUUUUGUACAUACAUCAUUACCAGUGGCUAACAGUAGGAGGGAUGCUCCAGCCAUCUGAGCGUCCUCAUGGCCCUCCUCUGGACUGACUACAACAGGCCCAUGUCCUUCUCAUGCUGAAUGCACUACAUCAGAACCCAAAAAUAAGUGCAGAUUUAGAGAAUCCUGGAAUUAUCAGCGGAGUCCAAAGCCAGCAUUUGUUACAAUCAAUUCGGAGGUGGUCAAGCACAUAUUCAUCAGCAGAAAUAAGCAUUCUCU
This is a long non-coding RNA of Gallus gallus (chicken), 431 nucleotides long. The record is from Ensembl. NCBI's taxonomy places the organism in Eukaryota, Metazoa, Chordata, Aves, Galliformes, Phasianidae.